This 423-nucleotide ribosomal RNA is filed under the name uncultured archaeon. RNAcentral describes it as "bacterial SSU rRNA". It matches the Rfam family "Archaeal small subunit ribosomal RNA", at positions 325 to 747 of the family's 1478-position model. The record is from RNAcentral.
ACGGGGCGCAGCAGGCGCGAAACCUUUACACUGUACGCAAGUGCGAUAAGGGGACUCCGAGUGUGAAGGCAUAGAGCCUUCACUUUUGUACACCGUAAGGUGGUGUACGAAUAAGGGCUGGGCAAGACCGGUGCCAGCCGCCGCGGUAAUACCGGCAGCCCGAGUGAUGGCCGAUAUUAUUGGGCCUAAAGCGUCCGUAGCUGGCCGGACAAGUCCGUUGGGAAAUCUGUUCGCUUAACGAGCAGGCGUCCAGCGGAAACUGUUCGGCUUGGGACCGGAAGACCUGAGGGGUACGUCCGGGGUAGGAGUGAAAUCCUGUAAUCCUGGACGGACCACCGGUGGCGAAAGCGCCUCAGGAGGACGGAUCCGACAGUGAGGGACGAAAGCUAGGGUCUCGAACCGGAUUAGAUACCCCCGUAGUCC